GCCCAGCCGUAAACAUUAAUCUAUUAUAUACCAAAGAUUCGCCAGGGAACUACGAGCACCAGCUUGAAACCCAAAGGACUUGGCGGUGCCUUAGACCCCCCUAGAGGAGCCUGUUCUAGAACUGAUAAUCCCCGUUUAACCUCACCCUCCCUUGCCUAGCCCGCCUAUAUACCGCCGUCGUCAGCUCACCCUGUGAAGGCCUCUAAGUGGGCAAAAUUGGCCUCCCCCAGAACGUCAGGUCGAGGUGUAGUACAUGAGAGGGGAAGAAAUGGGCUACAUUCGUUCACCAACGCACACGGAUGACUAAUUGAAACAUUUAUCUGAAGGAGGAUUUAGCAGUAAGCCGGGAUUAGAGAGCCCGACUGAAAUCGGCCCUGAGGCGCG
RNAcentral lists this ribosomal RNA (384 nucleotides) under Corythoichthys amplexus (brown-banded pipefish). RNAcentral's name for it is "partial 12S ribosomal RNA". It matches the Rfam family "Bacterial small subunit ribosomal RNA", at positions 794 to 1383 of the family's 1533-position model. Lineage: Eukaryota; Metazoa; Chordata; Actinopteri; Syngnathiformes; Syngnathidae. The record is from RNAcentral.